UAGCCCCAACGGGUGCUGUGAUGGGUAGGGGAGCGUCGUCUGCCGGGUGAAGCAGCCGCGGAAGCGAGUUGUGGACGGUUGACGAGUGAGAAUGCAGGCAUGAGUAGCGAUUCACACGUGAGAAACGUGUGCGCCGAUUGACUAAGGGUUCCUGGGUCAAGCUGAUCUGCCCAGGGUAAGUCGGGACCUAAGGCGAGGCCGACAGGCGUAGUCGAUGGAUAACCGGUUGAUAUUCCGGUACCCGCUGUGAAGCGUCAAACAUCGAAUCCAGUGAUGCUAAGCCCGUGAAGCCGCCGGCUGAGUCUUCGGACGAGGUCGGAGUGGUGGAGCCGGUGACCCGAGCUGGUAGUAGGUGAGUGAUGGGGUGACGCAGGAAGGUAGUCCAUCCCGGGCGGUGGUUGUCCCGGGGUAAGGGUGUAGGACGUCAGGUAGGCAAAUCCGCCUGGCAUGUGUCUGAGACCUGAUGCCGAGCCGAUUGUGGUGAAGUGGAUGAUCCUAUGCUGUCGAGAAAAGCCUCUAGCGAGUUUCAUGGCGGCCCGUACCCUAAACCGACUCAGGUGGUCAGGUAGAGAAUACCGAGGCGUUCGGGUGAACUAUGGUUAAGGAACUCGGCAAAAUGCCCCCGUAACUUCGGGAGAAGGGGGGCCACAUCCGGUGAUGAGCUUCGCGCUCUGAGCUGGGGGUGGCCGCAGAGACCAGCGAGAAGCGACUGUUUACUAAAAACACAGGUCCGUGCGAAGCCGUAAGGCGAUGUAUACGGACUGACGCCUGCCCGGUGCUGGAACGUUAAGGGGACCGGUUAGCU
Molecule: ribosomal RNA, 805 nt
Filed under: Streptomyces sp. Z38
Lineage: Bacteria; Bacillati; Actinomycetota; Actinomycetes; Kitasatosporales; Streptomycetaceae
Description: partial 23S ribosomal RNA
Rfam family: Bacterial large subunit ribosomal RNA
Source: RNAcentral